Molecule: unclassified non-coding RNA, 269 nt
Filed under: plant metagenome
Description: partial contains small subunit ribosomal RNA, internal transcribed spacer 1, and 5.8S ribosomal RNA
Source: RNAcentral
UUUCCGUAGGUGAACCUGCGGAAGGAUCAUUAAUGAGUUGUCAUGGGGUUCGAUGCUGGCAGCCAAUUUUUGGAUGAAUGUGCUUGCCCUAACAAUCAUCUUCCAAACACCUGUGCACAUUUUUGAGGGAGUCUUGAGUUGGUUGCCGCUCUUGGGUGAUUUUCUCACAUUCCCUUAAAUCAUUAUACGCUAUUAACAAUGUUGAACGUGCUCUGUGCCGCAAGGCUAUUAAUAUAAUACAACUUUUAACAACGGAUCUCUUGGCUCUC